CAUUAUGUUUGUUGUGUGUUUGUGCAUGUGUGCAUAUAGAAGAUACACACACACACACACACACACACACACAACAGGUAAAAACA
RNAcentral lists this microRNA precursor (86 nucleotides) under Chlorocebus sabaeus (green monkey). RNAcentral's name for it is "miRNA (ENSCSAG00000026939.1)". Lineage: Eukaryota; Metazoa; Chordata; Mammalia; Primates; Cercopithecidae. The record is from RNAcentral.